GGUGCAUUUGAUGACACUUGUUAGCGACCAAAGUCUGACAGAAAUGAUUGCUACCCAUUGUCUGAUGCACC
RNAcentral lists this small nucleolar RNA (71 nucleotides) under Chinchilla lanigera (long-tailed chinchilla). Lineage: Eukaryota; Metazoa; Chordata; Mammalia; Rodentia; Chinchillidae. The record is from RNAcentral.